UAUAAACGUCAUGGCUUAGAGCAUCCGCAAUUAAUGCACAACUCCAUCUGUCGCUAUAUAAAUCUUUUGUUCCAAGGUUAACAAUUGAAUUUCUGUAGUUGAAAUUACCAGUUACUAUACUCUCUCUUUCUGAAACAAUUUGCCCAAUUGUUUGAGAUGUUCAAUAUGAGAUUUGUAUCUCAAGAUUGGGUGGUUUCAUGUGCACUAAUACUUCUGGUGUCAUGCACAACAUACUCAUCAGCUUCUUUGGGGAAACCUGAGAACAACAUAAAAACAUCUGUUUUUAAAUCACCCAAGAUUGAGCUAGGUCCAGGGUUAGUUUCAAACAAAUUUUAUUUUGAUGUUGACUUUCCAAGAGGCCAUAUUGCACUCAAGAGUUUCAAUGCUGAAUUGGUUGAUGAGUCAGAGAAAUCAGUGCCUCUCCAAGAAACCUAUCUCCAUCACUGGCUUAUAAUAAAAUACCACCAGCCAAAAAAUGUGACACACAAUAACCAAACAGAUAUUGUUUUUGUGAGAAACAGUGGCUUUUGCCAGGAUGGUACUCUUAUCCAGUAUUUUGGUCUUGGAUCAGAAACAAGAGGAACCGCCACUGAUAUUCCAGACCCUUUUGGAAUAGAAGUUGGAAACCCUUCAGAAAUUCCAUAUGGAUAUGAUGAGAAAUGGUUGAUCAACGUGCAUGCCAUUGACACAAGGGGCGUGGAAGAUAGGUUGGGGUGCAUUGAGUGUAGGUGUGACCUUUAUAAUAUCACAAAGGAUGCAGAUGGUAACCCUUUGAGUCCAGAUUAUAAGGGAGGUUUGGAUUGUUGCCCUGAUAAUACCACGUGCAGGCUAAACAAAGGCUUCAAGGGUCCAAAGAGAACCUUAUACCUUAAAUACACAGUGAAGUGGUUCAGUUGGGACAACUACGUGGUGCCCCUUAAGAUUUAUAUACUUGAUGUGACUGAUGUUUUGAACGUGUCCAAAGGAGGGACUCCAAAGCAUAAUUGCGAGGUUGAGUAUCAGGUUGAACCUCGCAGCAAAGGCUACAAUAGUAGUGAUGUCAGAAAAACAAGCUUCCCAAUGCAGACUGGUGGAUAUGUCAUCUAUGGUGUUGGUCAUCAGCAUGCAGGUGCAAUUGCAUCAACGCUACACGGACAGGAUGGGGGAGUUAUUUGUUCUUCAAUACCAAAAUAUGGUACUGGAAGUGAAGCAGGAAAUGAGAAAGGGUAUGUUGUAGGAAUGUCCACAUGUUACCCUCGACCAGGUACUAUCAAAAUAAAAGAUGGUGAAACCCUAACUCUAGAGAUUAUCUACAGCAACAGCGAAAUGCACAGUGGAGUAAUGGGGCUUUUCUACAUCUUGGUGGCAGAACAACUGCCACACCAACACCACCUUUGACAUUAUUAUAUGUUCAAUAUGAGAUUUGUAUCUCAAGAUUGGGUGGUUUCAUGUGCACUAAUACUUCUGGUGUCAUGCACAACAUACUCAUCAGCUUCUUUGGGGAAACCUGAGAACAACAUAAAAACAUCUGUUUUUCUAUCACCCAAGAUUGAGCUAGGUCCAGGGUUAGUUUCAAACAAAUUUUAUUUUGAUGUUGACUUUCCAAGAGGCCAUAUUGCACUCAAGAGUUUCAAUGCUGAAUUGGUUGAUGAGUCAGGGAAAUCACUGCCUCUCCAAGAAACCUAUCUCCAUCACUGGUUUAUAAUAAAAUACCAACAGCCAAAAAAUGUGACACACAAUAACCCAACAGAUAAUAUUGUUUAUGUGAGAAACAGUGGCUUUUGCCAGGAUGGUCCUCUUAUCCAGUAUUUUGGUCUUGGAUCAGAAACAAGAGGAACUGCCACUGAUAUUCCAGACCCUUUUGGAAUAGAAGUUGGAAACCCUUCAGAUAUUCCAUAUGGAUAUGAUGAGAAAUGGUUGAUCAACGUGCAUCCCAUUGACACAAGGGGUGUGGAAGAUAGGUUGGGGUGCAUUGAGUGUAGGUGUGACCUUUAUAAUAUCACAAAGGAUGCAGAUGGUAACCCUUUGAGUCCAGAUUAUAAGGGAGGUUUGGAUUGUUGCCCUGAUAAUACCACGUGCAGGCUAAACAAAGGCUUCAAGGGUCCAAAGAGAACCUUAUACCUUAAAUACACAGUGAAGUGGUUCAGUUGGGACAACUACGUGGUGCCCCUUAAGAUUUAUAUACUUGAUGUGACUGAUGUUUUGAGCGUGUCCAAAGGAGUAACUCCAAUGCAUAAUUGCGAGGUUGAGUAUCAGGUUGAACCUUGCAGCAAAGGCUACAGUAGUAGUGCUUGCAUUGAUGUCAGAAAAACAAGCUUCCCAAUGCAAAAUGGUGGAUAUGUAAUCUAUGGUGUUGGUCAUCAGCAUGUAGGUGCAAUUGCAUCAAAACUAUACGGACAGGAUGGGGGAGUUAUUUGUUCUUCAAUACCAAAAUAUGGAACUGGAAGUGAAGUAGGAAAUGAGGGAGGGUAUGUUGUAGGAAUGUCCACAUGUUACCCUCGACCAGGUACUAUCAAAAUAAAAGAUGGUGAAACCCUAACUCUAGAGAUUAUCUACAGCAACAGCGAAAUGCACAGUGGAGUAAUGGGGCUUUUCUACAUCUUGGUGGCAGAACAACUGCCACACCAACACCUCCUUUGACAUUAUUGUGUCCUAACUAAAUUCAUCUUGGAAGUGGAUCCAAGAGACUAUUAUAUUAUAUGAUAUCUAUAUGAGUAAGUGAAUAUGUUGUGAUGAAAAAUAAAGCCAGCUCUGAGUCUUGUAAUAAUGGCUAAGUAUUAAUGUAUUAUACUAUAGUCGCAUGUCUUGAGAUAA
RNA transcript from Glycine soja, 2793 nucleotides. RefSeq lists it as uncharacterized. The record is from RefSeq and is a predicted model, not a curated record. The transcript is spliced from 7 exons. Lineage: Eukaryota; Viridiplantae; Streptophyta; Magnoliopsida; Fabales; Fabaceae.